UAUUGAUUACAUUUGCAAGACUAGAAAUUAAAUUGUGGCUUUAAAUGCAUUCUGUUCUAUCAGAAUAUUUUUGUCAUGAACUGCACACACUCCUUCCCCUGCCUUAGUCCAUUUAAAUAGUAAUGGAGAGGCAUGGACUAAAGCCUUUAUAAUACCAAUUGCCAGCAAAUGUGGAAUGUAAGGCUAGUCACAUCACCAAAGAAUUUACAGUCUAAAUGCACAAGAACGUUAGGCAGACAUUAAGAAGUUGAUAUGCCCGGAGAGAAAUUUGAAUGUGAAGGUGGUUGACUGUCCCUUGUGUUCUUCAAGCAAUGAAUAAAAGAGCUGUGUCGGA
This is a long non-coding RNA of Harpia harpyja (harpy eagle), 334 nucleotides long. RefSeq lists it as uncharacterized. The transcript has 2 exons. The record is from RefSeq and is a predicted model, not a curated record. Lineage: Eukaryota; Metazoa; Chordata; Aves; Accipitriformes; Accipitridae.